This 29-nucleotide small RNA is filed under the name Bombyx mori (domestic silkworm). RNAcentral describes it as "ovarian small RNA-22159". Lineage: Eukaryota; Metazoa; Arthropoda; Insecta; Lepidoptera; Bombycidae. The record is from RNAcentral.
UAGAUUAAACUUACACCUCGCCUCCCCGU